This 583-nucleotide ribosomal RNA is filed under the name uncultured fungus. Its description in RNAcentral is "eukaryotic LSU rRNA". The stretch from base 203 to 356 matches the Rfam family "5.8S ribosomal RNA". The record is from RNAcentral. Lineage: Eukaryota; Fungi.
CUUGGUCAUUUAGAGGAAGUAAAAGUCGUAACAAGGUUUCCGUAGGUGAACCUGCGGAAGGAUCAUUAACGAGUAAGUCGCAAGACUUCUUUCAUCCAACACCUGUGAAUUUUAAAUUUAUUUGCUUUGGCAGAAUUUCGGUUCUGCCAACAAUCAAAACCCCAAUUAAUUUGUUGUCUGAGUGUAGAAUACUAAAAUUCAAAACUUUCAACAACGGAUCUCUUGGUUCUCGCAUCGAUGAAGAACGCAGCGAAACGCGAUAUGUAAUGUGAAUUGCAGAAUUUUGUGAAUCAUCGAAUCUUUGAACGCACAUUGCGCCCUCUGGUAUUCCGGAGGGCAUACCUGUUUGAGCGUCAGUUCAUUCUCAAACUUAUUGUUUGGUGUUGGCUUGCUAAGCAUUUUCUUGCUUACGAGUUGAAAUAUAUUGGCUAAGCAUUCUUUUAGUAUUUACAACGUAUUAGGUUUUACCAACUCGUUGGAUCGUGUUGUUAGAAAAGGCUGGGCGAUAGAACAGAACUUAUAAAUUUGACCUCAAAUCAGGCAGGACUACCCGCUGAACUUAAGCAUAUCAAUAAGCGGAGGA